Molecule: ribosomal RNA, 500 nt
Filed under: uncultured bacterium
Lineage: Bacteria
Description: partial 16S ribosomal RNA
Rfam family: Bacterial small subunit ribosomal RNA
Source: RNAcentral
AUUGAACGCUGGCGGCAUGCCUUACACAUGCAAGUCGAACGGCAGCACGGGAGCAAUCCUGGUGGCGAGUGGCGAACGGGUGAGUAAAGUAUCGGAACGUGCCCAGUCGUGGGGGAUAACGUAGCGAAAGUUACGCUAAUACCGCAUACGAUCGAUGGAUGAAAGCGGGGGAUCGCAAGACCUCGCGCGAUUGGAGCGGCCGAUAUCGGAUUAGGUAGUUGGUGGGGUAAAGGCCCACCAAGCCGACGAUCUGUAGCUGGUCUGAGAGGAAGACCAGCCACACUGGGACUGGAAAACGGCCCAGACUCCUACGGGAGGCAGCAGUGGGGAAUUUUGGACAAUGGGCGAAAGCCUGAUCCAGCCAUGCCGCGUGCAGGAUGAAGGCCUUCGGGUUGUAAACUGCUUUUGUACGGAACGAAAAGGACUGCCCUAAUACGGUGGUCCCAUGACGGUACCGUAAGAAUAAGCACCGGCUAACUACGUGCCAGCCGCCGCCGUAA